This 550-nucleotide ribosomal RNA is filed under the name uncultured bacterium. Its description in RNAcentral is "partial 16S ribosomal RNA". It matches the Rfam family "Bacterial small subunit ribosomal RNA", at positions 355 to 895 of the family's 1533-position model. The record is from RNAcentral.
UGGGGAAUAUUGCACAAUGGGCGCAAGCCUGAUGCAGCCAUGCCGCGUGUGUGAAGAAGGCCUUCGGGUUGUAAAGCACUUUCAGCGAGGAGGAAGGUGGUGAACUUAAUACGUUCAUCAAUUGACGUUACUCGCAGAAGAAGCACCGGCUAACUCCGUGCCAGCAGCCGCGGUAAUACGGAGAGUGCAAGCGUUAAUCGGAAUUACUGGGCGUAAAGCGCACGCAGGCGGUUUGUUAAGUCAGAUGUGAAAUCCCCGGGCUCAACCUGGGAACUGCAUUUGAAACUGGCAAGCUAGAGUCUCGUAGAGGGGGGUAGAAUUCCAGGUGUAGCGGUGAAAUGCGUAGAGAUCUGGAGGAAUACCGGUGGCGAAGGCGGCCCCCCUGGACGAAGACUGACGCUCAGGUGCGAAAGCGUGGGGCAGCAAACAGGAUUAGAUACCCUGGUAGUCCACGCUGUAAACGAUGUCGAUUUGGAGGUUGUGCCCUUGAGGCGUGGCUUCCGGAGCUAACGCGUUAAAUCGACCGCCUGGGGAGUACGGCCGCAAGGUU